RNAcentral lists this ribosomal RNA (256 nucleotides) under uncultured bacterium. Its description in RNAcentral is "partial 16S ribosomal RNA". It matches the Rfam family "Bacterial small subunit ribosomal RNA", at positions 524 to 776 of the family's 1533-position model. The record is from RNAcentral.
UACGUAGGGUGCAAGCGUUGUCCGGAAUUAUUGGGCGUAAAGGGCUCGUAGGCGGCGUGUCGCGUCGGGGAGUGAAAGCCCGCUGCUUAACGGCGGGUUGGCUUCCGGUACGGGCAUCGCUGGAGUGCGGCAGGGGAGACUGGAAUUCCUGGUGUAGCGGUGGAAUGCGCAGAUAUCAGGAGGAACACCGGUGGCGAAGGCGGGUCUCUGGGCCGUUACUGACGCUGGAGGAGCGAAAGCGUGGGGAGCGAACAGG